RNAcentral lists this long non-coding RNA (245 nucleotides) under Lathyrus oleraceus (garden pea). RNAcentral describes it as "Pisum sativum (pea) long non-coding RNA (PSAT_LNC026932)". The record is from RNAcentral. Lineage: Eukaryota; Viridiplantae; Streptophyta; Magnoliopsida; Fabales; Fabaceae.
UAUGAGCAAGAUUAAAAUUGGGUAGAGGUUGUGAGGUUCUGGUUGUAGAAGGUGGGGUUUCAGAGGAUGUGUAUAUAGGUGGUGUUGGGAGAGGAUUAGAAGAAGCCAUAAGAUGUUCAGAGGGAAUAGAGGGAGCAGACUUACCAGUAGUUACUUGCAGAGGUGCUGGAGAUCUUGUUUCAGAAGUUUCUCCUAGCCUUGCUCUCUUUGCCUUUGAAGACUUCUUUGAAGAGGGACCUCUUUUG